CUUCCUUCGUCGUUCUUGCUACUACUAACUACCACGGCGCGUUUAAAACUUUAACGCGUCAACAGGCUUCUUACAAAACCUCUAAAUAUUUAUCCGCCGAAACACAGUGUGGAAGGGAAGGGCCUCCCCGGUUGGCCUCUUCAAACACAAACUCAGUGGCUGUAACUCAAAGCCGGGCACCGUGGCAGGAUUCACGUGGCAUUAAGGAUUCAUUUUGAAGUUCGUGUUUACGCCGUUCGGUUUGUUAGCGUGGCGUCUCCGAGCAGGCGCCCCCCCGCUGGGAUGAUAGGGAAGCAUCUGCCUUCACAAGAUGGAGCCUAACAGAGACGGAGCCUACUGUAUGGUGUUCGGAUGCACUCUGGAGUGUUGAGGUGGGGGGGGGGGGAAACUCCCCUUGUUUGUGAACCAACCCGGAGCUGGAAUCGUCCACACCUGGCUGUGAAAUGGACUCGGAUGUAUGAGGGGGAUUGUGCCUGAGCGAACGGAUUGUGCUAACAAAGAGCUGCCUGGUUUAAUGGCUUUCAUUUGAAUUUCUGCUCCUUUCGUUAGGAAGCGCUGACAUUUUCAGGGAAAACCGAGAGCCAUUAUCGCUGACUAACCUUUAAAAAGAAGAGCGAUGUGUCUUUCCUGAAGAGACAAAGCUCCAGAAAAAAAGGUCAAUUUAAGAAAUGAUUUUCUUAAGUUUGAAGUAAAAGGCAGCUGCAAAAAAAAAAAAAAAAAAAAAAA
Molecule: long non-coding RNA, 726 nt
Organism: Poecilia latipinna (sailfin molly)
Lineage: Eukaryota; Metazoa; Chordata; Actinopteri; Cyprinodontiformes; Poeciliidae
Exons: 2
Source: RefSeq, a predicted model, not a curated record